Long non-coding RNA from Camelina sativa (false flax), 766 nucleotides. RefSeq lists it as uncharacterized. The record is from RefSeq and is a predicted model, not a curated record. NCBI's taxonomy places the organism in Eukaryota, Viridiplantae, Streptophyta, Magnoliopsida, Brassicales, Brassicaceae.
UUCGCCGCUUAAAGACUCUCUGUUUCAAGACUCUGCUUCAAGACGCAUAGUCAUAGAUAUGCGGCCGGCCCAUUGUUCACGAUCGCGCUUAACCAAACUCAGCCGUUGGGGAUCUCGUCGGCAGAAGACGACGACGGAGGUGACGAAGAGCGAAUAAGCAAUUGCAGUAGCGGAGAUUCUGUCUCCUAUGACCCAAGCCUUUGUGUACACGAGAGACGUCUACCCUUUUUUAAAUCGUUUUCAGAUGUCUUGAGAUUGAUUCACCGGCUUGGCUUGGUCGUCUCGAGCAAACAGCUUGCUCUUCUCCGGCUAAGCACCACAUCGAAGCGUUCACGAGCUUACUCUCAGAAGAAGGGAGUGAUGCUUCUGUCGAGAUGGCCAUAGCUAAAGCUGCUGAUGCUAUACUGUACAACAAGCAAUCAAGUACCACAGUCACUCCAUGUCUGAUCCUGGGAGCACAAACCGUACAAGAGAUGAGAUAUCUAGUGUGAGGCAGGUUUUGAGCUUGAUCAGAAUCUGUUUGGUCCUGUGGAGAUUUAGACUUGAGGCCUGAGGGAAGCUUUGCAGCUGGUGCUAGUUCCCAAACUCUUCUCGCAAAGGGGCAUAGCCUGAGAAUGUGGAGUAUGGUGUCUGAUCUAUUAAUGUGUGUUUGCUUGUUUUUGGCAUUAAUGGUGUUCAUAUUUUUGUUUUCUACCCUAAAUGUCAUAUGCACUUUAGCAAAAACAAAGCCACAAAUAUUGCAAAAGAUUUUGUUAAGCAACUACCA